Molecule: ribosomal RNA, 273 nt
Filed under: uncultured Staphylococcus sp.
Lineage: Bacteria; Bacillati; Bacillota; Bacilli; Caryophanales; Staphylococcaceae
Description: partial 16S ribosomal RNA
Rfam family: Bacterial small subunit ribosomal RNA
Source: RNAcentral
ACGUUAGUGGCGGACGGGUGAGUAACACGUGGGUAACCUACCUAUAAGACUGGGAUAACUUCGGGAAACCGGAGCUAAUACCGGAUAAUAUUUCGAACCGCAUGGUUCGAUAGUGAAAGAUGGUUUUGCUAUCACUUAUAGAUGGACCCGCGCCGUAUUAGCUAGUUGGUAAGGUAACGGCUUACCAAGGCGACGAUACGUAGCCGACCUGAGAGGGUGAUCGGCCACACUGGAACUGAGACACGGUCCAGACUCCUACGGGAGGCAGCAGCU